GACAGAGGGUGCAAACGUUGUUCGGAAUUACUGGGCGUAAAGCGCGCGUAGGCGGCAUGACAAGUCGGAUGUGAAAGCCCCUGGCUCAACUGGGGAAGUGCACCCGAAACUGAGUGGCUUGAGUACUAAAGAGGGUCGCGGAAUUCCCGGUGUAGAGGUGAAAUUCGUAGAUAUCGGGAGGAACACCGGUGGCGAAGGCGGCGACCUGGGUAGAUACUGACGCUGAGGCGCGAAAGCGUGGGGAGCAAACAGG
This 253-nucleotide ribosomal RNA is filed under the name uncultured bacterium. RNAcentral describes it as "partial 16S ribosomal RNA". It matches the Rfam family "Bacterial small subunit ribosomal RNA", at positions 524 to 776 of the family's 1533-position model. The record is from RNAcentral.